GACGAACGCUGGCGGCGUGCUUAACACAUGCAAGUCGAACGGAAAGGCCCUGCUUUUGUGGGGUGCUCGAGUGGCGAACGGGUGAGUAACACGUGAGUAACCUGCCCUUGACUUUGGGAUAACUUCAGGAAACUGGGGCUAAUACCGGAUAGGAGCUCCUGCUGCAUGGUGGGGGUUGGAAAGUUUCGGCGGUUGGGGAUGGACUCGCGGCUUAUCAGCUUGUUGGUGGGGUAGUGGCUUACCAAGGCUUUGACGGGUAGCCGGCCUGAGAGGGUGACCGGCCACAUUGGGACUGAGGUACGGCCCAGACACCUACGGGAGGCAGCAGUGGGGAAUAUUGCACAAUGGGCGGAAGCCGGAUGCAGCAACGCCGCGUGCGGGAUGACGGCCUUCGGGUUGUAAACCGCUUUCGCCUGUGACGAAGCGUGAGUGACGGUAAUGGGUAAAGAAGCACCGGCUAACUACGUG
RNAcentral lists this ribosomal RNA (468 nucleotides) under uncultured bacterium. Its description in RNAcentral is "partial 16S ribosomal RNA". It matches the Rfam family "Bacterial small subunit ribosomal RNA", at positions 28 to 507 of the family's 1533-position model. The record is from RNAcentral.